GGUUAAACAAAUAAUGCAAUAAAAAAAUUUUUUGGUUUUAAUUGAUAGGUUUCAUAGAAUUUAAAAAUGAUUUUAUUAGGUGAAAUUUUAAAAUUAUAAUAAAUUUAGGAAAAGUUUAUGAGGUUAAUAAAUUUAAGAUUUAGACUAGGAUUAGAUACCCUAUUAUUUUAAAUUAAAUUUUUUAAAGCCAGGCUAGUAAUAGAUAUGUUCUUGAAAAUUAAAGAUGUUGGCGGUAUUUUAGUCUAUUCAGAGGAAUCUGUCCUAUAAUUGAUGAUCCACGAGUUAAUAUACUUAUUUUAAAUAAGUUUAUAUAUCGUCGUAGUUUGAAUAUUUUCAAAAAAUUUUAAAUAUUCAAGAUUUUUUUAAUAAGAAAAUUCAGAUCAAGGUGUAGCUUAUAGAUAAGUAGAGAUGGAUUACAAUAAAUUUAUUUAAAUGGAUUAAUAAUUGAAAUUUUAUUAUGAAGGUGGAUUUGAAGGUAAUUUUUAUUGAAAUUAAUAAAAUGAUUUAAGCUCUAAAAUAUGUACAUA
Molecule: ribosomal RNA, 527 nt
Filed under: Pandeleteius sp. 1 AMV2011a
Lineage: Eukaryota; Metazoa; Arthropoda; Insecta; Coleoptera; Curculionidae
Description: partial 12S ribosomal RNA
Source: RNAcentral